CGAAAUGCGAUAAGUAAUGUGAAUUGCAGAAUUCAGUGAAUCAUCGAAUCUUUGAACACACCUUGCGCUCCUUGGUAUUCCUUGGAGCAUGCCUGUUUGAGUAUCAUGAAAUCUUCAAAGUAAAUCUUUUGUUAACUCAAUUGGUUUCUACUUUGGUAUUGGAGGUCUUUGCAGCUUCACACCUGCUCCUCUUUGUUCAUUAGCUGGAUCUCAGUGUUAUGCUUGGUUCCACUCGGCGUGAUAAGUUAUCUAUCGCUGAGGACACUGUAAAAGGUGGCCAAGGUAAAUGCAGAUGAACCGCUUCUAAUAGUCCAUUGACUUGGACAAUACUUUUAUGAUCUGAUCUCAAAUCAGGUAGGACUACCCGCUGAACUUAAGC
RNAcentral lists this unclassified non-coding RNA (379 nucleotides) under plant metagenome. RNAcentral describes it as "partial contains 5.8S ribosomal RNA, internal transcribed spacer 2, and large subunit ribosomal RNA". The stretch from base 1 to 106 matches the Rfam family "5.8S ribosomal RNA", at positions 49 to 154 of the family's 154-position model. The record is from RNAcentral.